AAUAGAUACCCGGGUAGUCCACGCCGUAAACGAUGAGUGCUAGGUGUUAGAGGGUUUCCGCCCUUUAGUGCUGCAGCUAACGCAUUAAGCACUCCGCCUGGGGAGUACGGCCGCAAGGCUGAAACUCAAAGGAAUUGACGGGGGCCCGCACAAGCGGUGGAGCAUGUGGUUUAAUUCGAAGCAACGCGAAGAACCUUACCAGGUCUUGACAUCCCGCUGACCGGCCUAGAGAUAGGUCUUUCCCUUCGGGGACAGCGGUGACAGGUGGUGCAUGGUUGUCGUCAGCUCGUGUCGUGAGAUGUUGGGUUAAGUCCCGCAACGAGCGCAACCCUUGAGAUUAGUUGCCAGCAUUCAGUUGGGCACUCUAAUCUGACUGCCGGUGACAAACCGGAGGAAGGUGGGGAUGACGUCAAAUCAUCAUGCCCCUUAUGACCUGGGCUACACACGUGCUACAAUGGGUGGUACAAUGGGUUGCAAACCCGGCGAGGGGGAGCCAAUCCCACAAAGCCACUCUCAGUUCGGAUUGCAGG
This 530-nucleotide ribosomal RNA is filed under the name uncultured bacterium. Its description in RNAcentral is "bacterial SSU rRNA". It matches the Rfam family "Bacterial small subunit ribosomal RNA", at positions 777 to 1304 of the family's 1533-position model. The record is from RNAcentral.